AUGCUCCUGGAAAUCUGGGCCAGCCACAGAACCCUGUUUGUGCUGCGGACGCUGUGUGGAGACGUUUUGCAAUGCCCGAGGGAGGCUGGCACACCAGGGAUGCAGAGACAGUCAGCCGGAGCCCAAUGAGAGCUGCAGGCCUGUGUGAUUCCAGUCUGCAGUCCUAUUGUGCAGCUCUCUUCUGAGAACACAAGAGCAUAUAAUGCCCUUCUGCUCAAAGGUCAGCUCAGUGCUGUCUCGUAGACAAUGGCACCAAAAGGCGAGGUGGCUCACA
Molecule: long non-coding RNA, 274 nt
Filed under: Homo sapiens (human)
Lineage: Eukaryota; Metazoa; Chordata; Mammalia; Primates; Hominidae
Description: HSALNT0368939
Source: RNAcentral